UGAGUAACCUGCCCUUCACUCUGGGAUAACUCCGGGAAAUCGGGGCUAAUACUGGAUAUGACUCGAACAGGCAUCUGUUUCGGGUGAAA
RNAcentral lists this ribosomal RNA (89 nucleotides) under uncultured bacterium. Its description in RNAcentral is "partial 16S ribosomal RNA". The record is from RNAcentral.